Molecule: ribosomal RNA, 192 nt
Filed under: uncultured bacterium
Lineage: Bacteria
Description: partial 16S ribosomal RNA
Rfam family: Bacterial small subunit ribosomal RNA
Source: RNAcentral
GUCUGCAACUCGACUCCAUGAAGCUGGAUUCGCUAGUAAUCGCGCAUCAGCCAUGGCGCGGUGAAUACGUUCCCGGGCCUUGUACACACCGCCCGUCAAGCCAUGGGAGUCGGGAGUGCCUGAAGUUCGUGACCGUCACAGGAGCGACCUAAGGCAAGACCGAUGACUGGGGCUAAGUCGUAACAAGGUAUC